UGGCAUGUAGCUCAGAUGGAUAGAGCAGCAGCUUUUGGAGCUGGUUGUCGCGGGUUCGAAUCCCGCCAUGCUAUC
RNAcentral lists this transfer RNA (75 nucleotides) under compost metagenome. RNAcentral's name for it is "tRNA-Gln". It matches the Rfam family "tRNA". From Rfam's summary of the family: Transfer RNA (tRNA) molecules are approximately 80 nucleotides in length. The record is from RNAcentral.